RNAcentral lists this ribosomal RNA (253 nucleotides) under uncultured bacterium. RNAcentral describes it as "partial 16S ribosomal RNA". It matches the Rfam family "Bacterial small subunit ribosomal RNA", at positions 524 to 776 of the family's 1533-position model. The record is from RNAcentral.
UACAGAGGUGGCAAGCGUUGUUCGGAAUUACUGGGCGUAAAGGGCGCGUAGGCGGCCUUCUAAGUCAGACGUGAAAUCCCCCGGCUUAACCUGGGAACUGCGUCUGAUACUGGGAGGCUUGAGUAUGGGAGAGGGAUGUAGAAUUCCAGGUGUAGCGGUGAAAUGCGUAGAUAUCGGGAGGAACACCAAUUGCGAAGGCAGCUCGCUGGGACGUCACUGACGCUGAGACGCGAAAGCGUGGGGAGCAAACAGG